UACUGGGAUGUACGAGGAGAAAGGAUUUAUUCGCUGAGGGAUGGGUCUGCGGCCUAUCAGGUAGUUGGUGGGGUAAAGGCCUACCAAGCCUGCGACGGGUAGCCGGACUGAGAGGUCGACCGGCCACACUGGAACUGAGACACGGUCCAGACUCCUACGGGAGGCAGCAGUGGGGAAUAUUGCACAAUGGGGGAAACCCUGAUGCAGCGACGCCGCGUGGAGGAUGACGGCCUUCGGGUUGUAAACUCCUUUUGUCAGGGACAAUGGUGAUGGUACCUGACGAAUAAGCCACGGCUAACUCUGUGCCAGCAGCCGCGGUAAGACAGAGGUGGCGAGCGUUGUUCGGAAUUACUGGGCUUAAAGGGCGCGUAGGCGGUGGUGUAAGUCUGGGGUGGAAUGCUACAGCUCAACUGUAGAGCUGCCUUGGAAACUGCAUUACUUGAGUCGGUGAGGGGAAGGCGGAAUUCCUGGUGUAGCGGUGAAAUGCGUAGAUAUCAGGAGGAAGGUCUGUGGCGAAGGCGGCCUUCUGGCACUUGACUGACGCUGAGGCGCGAAAGCGUGGGGAGCAAACAGGAUUAGAUACCCUGGUAGUCCACGCCCUAAACGGUGGGUAUUAGGUGUGGGGCCUUCAUGGGUUCCGUGCCGUAGCGAAAGCA
This 656-nucleotide ribosomal RNA is filed under the name uncultured bacterium. Its description in RNAcentral is "bacterial SSU rRNA". It matches the Rfam family "Bacterial small subunit ribosomal RNA", at positions 184 to 859 of the family's 1533-position model. The record is from RNAcentral.